Polistes canadensis is the source of this 545-nucleotide long non-coding RNA. RefSeq lists it as uncharacterized. The record is from RefSeq and is a predicted model, not a curated record. Lineage: Eukaryota; Metazoa; Arthropoda; Insecta; Hymenoptera; Vespidae. The transcript has 3 exons.
UACGAAAGCAGUCACACACAGUAUGUUGUUUGUAUAGGACAAAUCACAUUUAUAUAUUCUAAGUGAAUUAUUUCGUACAGUGAUCUGAGAAAAUAAUUACCCUUACAGAUUUUAAUUAACUGAAACAGUCAGUCGCUGCACAAAUCUUGUUGGACGUAAUAUAUAUUACAUAUUUUUUUUUAAUAAAUAAAAACGAUCCGAACUAUUUAUUCGACUCGUAAAAAAGGAAAUAGAAGGAAUAUUGUCGAAAAGGAAUAGAAUAAAAUAAAUUAUAAUCGAACUUACAUCUGAUUAUUUUGGUUCCCUUUAAUGUAUAAAAUAUAAAUAAAUCGAUUAAAGAUACUAUAUUCUUCUACGCUACAUAUUCUUAGAAUGAUUUCGAAAGAAUUGGACUUUGACUGCUUGCAAAUAAUUUUUAGUUUUUUAAAUGAAGUAGAUCUACAAAAAGCUGCUGUGGUUUGUCGUUCUUGGUAUAAAGCAGCAAUCUAUGAACAAGCAACAAGAGGUCCUUUGUGUAUUAAAAGAAAAAAAAGGGAAACGGUACC